This 72-nucleotide transfer RNA is filed under the name Escherichia coli. Its description in RNAcentral is "tRNA-Met". It matches the Rfam family "tRNA". From Rfam's summary of the family: Transfer RNA (tRNA) molecules are approximately 80 nucleotides in length. Their secondary structure includes four short double-helical elements and three loops (D, anti-codon, and T loops). RNAcentral also lists the same sequence under 60 other names. Lineage: Bacteria; Pseudomonadati; Pseudomonadota; Gammaproteobacteria; Enterobacterales; Enterobacteriaceae. The record is from RNAcentral.
CGUAGCUCAGUUGGUUAGAGCACAUCACUCAUAAUGAUGGGGUCACAGGUUCGAAUCCCGUCGUAGCCACCA